Molecule: transfer RNA, 85 nt
Filed under: Felis catus (domestic cat)
Lineage: Eukaryota; Metazoa; Chordata; Mammalia; Carnivora; Felidae
Rfam family: tRNA
About the family: Transfer RNA (tRNA) molecules are approximately 80 nucleotides in length. Their secondary structure includes four short double-helical elements and three loops (D, anti-codon, and T loops).
Source: Rfam by way of RNAcentral
GCCUGGGUGGCUCAGUCGGUUAAGCAUCUGACUUUAGCUCAGGUCAUAGUCUCAUGGCUCGUGAGUUCAAACCCCACAUCAGGCU